Long non-coding RNA from Peromyscus eremicus (cactus mouse), 2305 nucleotides. RefSeq lists it as uncharacterized. The record is from RefSeq and is a predicted model, not a curated record. Lineage: Eukaryota; Metazoa; Chordata; Mammalia; Rodentia; Cricetidae. The transcript has 4 exons.
AUGAGGGCCGAGGGCCGAGGGGCCGGGCUGUGGCCAGAGACCAGCGCCGGGUGAAGCGCCGGUCUCUCCGACUUCCUGAUACAUGUGGGCCCAGCCUCAACGUUUUUAGAAGGCCACUGGCCCACCUUACCCCACUCCCCGCCUCUGGUGGAGGUCCGCCCGUGUGUGUCUGGGGCUAGGGGGCGACCACUGGACCCCAACAGCCGCAAGGGGGCGCUCACCCAGAACAAAGGAUAUAGGGAUGAGCUGAAUGUAGCUGUCGCAGUACAGAGCCAGCUUCUCAAACAACAGCUGCUGUUCAUUCGAGAGAGCCAUUCUGGGAGUGGGAUGCAGGACACCAUGAAUGAACCCUAGUGAAAACUAUGGACUUCUAGCAACACAAGGCCUGGAGACCCUGCCUCCGUGAGCUCUAGACCCCACCCCCAGAUGCUCCGCCCCUUCUUCCUGAACCUCUUACCUAUAGACUCCACGGAUGGCGUAGUAGAGGAACAUGAAGAUGAGGAAUUCCCCACACAGCAGCUUGUAGAUGCUGCCACGCCAACACAGGAGCAGGCAGGAGAAGGAACCGAGACGGGCAUUAGCUACUUUGUUUGUAACAUCUCCUAGGAAAAAUGUCCCCAGCCAUCCUACUGGAAAUAAUGCCUCGGUUGUCACCAGUGGUGCCUUCCCAGUGUGCUCGAUCCUUCUACAUGGUGUAUGUCGUCGCUACUUGAAGUCAUGUGACACAAGAUACUCCUGCCUGCUGUUCGUUCUCUUCUCCCACUGGAAACUCUUAGUGUGUUCUUGGAGCAGAUGCUCAGUACAAACUGAUUAAAACCAUGACUGACUACCCCCUUUCCACCAUCCAGAGUCCACCUCCCCCCACAUGUGCUGCCAAUAUGUGCCCAUCACACCCCCGAAUACACAAGAGCAGUCAUCCACCCCUAAAGGCCCGCAAAGCCCUGGCGCUGUCCACCUGGGGCAACCCCUACUCACAGGUAGGGUUCCGGCAGUUCAGGCAACCUCAUAAAAGUUCUGGCCACUGGGUUGCUGGGACUCUCUGAGACCCUGGGGCGGGUACCCCUGUCCAUACUUGGAGGCUGGCACUGCCCACCUACGUAUGUGCUGAGUUGUCACCUGACUUUCUAAGCCAAAGCUUCCACAAAGGAGUCCUUGUCUCGGCCCCUCUUGUAAUCUGCUCAAGAGCAGCAACCAGCACCGCCCGGGCAAUGUUCCUCUAAUUCCUUCCUGGGGGUGGUGAGCUAAGAACAGGACUGGAACUGGGGUUCACACCCCCUCUUCCAUGGCUCUAAACUUUGGAAUAGAGAAAUUUGUGCCACCACCACUUUGUCCCCACUCCUGAGGUCUUUCAGAGAAAGUUGGGGGCAGGAUUGAGCCUCAUCUAAGGUACCAGGACCCCAGGAAAAUUAGUCUUGUCCAGGCCUCUGGGAGCCCCUCCAGAAAGAACGAUAGCCCACUGCUAUACGUCACUGGCUUCUAGUGACCUGUGUGCUAGCCCUCACUGGGCCUCAGCAUCCUUGUCUCAAAAGGUUAUGUUGCUUUGGAAUUUCAUCAGCAUAGUAAGUAACAGCAAUCUGCAUAUACUGGUGAGAAGCCCUGAUUGGCUGCUGGUGACAUCAUAGGUUGUGGUGGCUGUGAUUGGUUGGCAGGGCCUACUAGUAGGUACCUCAGGUAGAGAAAGAGAAGAGGACAGGAAGGCCAGGUGUGGCGACCGACCGGGCUUAGUGGGAGAAAACUAAAGGCCUGCUGUUCCAGCCAUCUAAUCCCAGACAGCCUGAGAGAGAGAAAGGCAAACACCCGUGCCCCCAGGGGCAGCUGGGUGGCAUCUCAACAGCCGGGCCGACCUUAGCACACCAGUCUUUUCUGAAGGCUCUCCUGAGCACCUGGAUAAGAUACACGAAGAGCACAGACUCCAGGGAGCACUGGUUCUCAGUCUUCACUGAGUGAGACAGUUGCCAAGACAUUUACCAAACACGCAGCUUCUCCGCAUCUCUCUCGGGAGUCUGGUGCUGCGUCCUUGGAGACGUUGCGUUUUUAUCAAGUACUGCAGGAGCCUGUGAGAUUUGGGUGGUCUUGGGAACCACACUUCCGGAAGCCCCGAUUUACAGUUUGACCCUGAGCCUUAGAAUGAAGCCAGCCUCCUGCUCCCUGCCUGGGCCUCCCUCCUCCCGCCUCUUCACUCCCUAAGGAGGCUGAGCCGCAGGUGAUUCUGGACUCGGUGUAAGUCCAGAAAGGGGGGAAUAGCUUUUUUACCAUGACCUUGACUGCUUUUCUAAUCACAGUGAACAAUAAAGCUGGUGUUAUC